This 468-nucleotide long non-coding RNA is filed under the name Trifolium pratense (red clover). RNAcentral's name for it is "long non-coding RNA (TPRA_LNC006554)". Lineage: Eukaryota; Viridiplantae; Streptophyta; Magnoliopsida; Fabales; Fabaceae. The record is from RNAcentral.
AGAUAAUUUGAUCUAUCAAAGCAUCCAAAUUAAACACAUCUCCUCGAAACACAAUAUUAUUCUGAGUGCGCCAUAUGCUCCAAGUAGUUGCUAACCAAAUGACAUGACGAGUUUUAGCAAGUCUCUUACUCAUCACCAAAUCACCAAAAGAUAUGAAGUGCUUCCACCCUUCCUCAAAGGGGAUGAAAUCCACAGCGAUCCACUUAUAAAUUUUCUUCCAAACUUGAAUUGAGACAGAGCAAUUAAAAAAUAAAUGAUCUAUGUCUUCUUCUUCUCUAAAGCAAAACACGCAACAAAACUCACGUGGAUUAUUGAUAUUUCCUUUUCAUUUUUUUCUACUGCAAUUGCAGCGCAUCCACCACAUUACUAUUAAUAGUCAAAAAAGAAUCACGGUUUUGCAAGAAACAAUAUGCUGAUUUUACCGUAAACAUACCGGCAUGGUUCAUGAGCCAUUUUCGAUGAUCCAAG